Non-coding RNA from Salvelinus sp. IW2-2015, 1204 nucleotides. Lineage: Eukaryota; Metazoa; Chordata; Actinopteri; Salmoniformes; Salmonidae. The record is from RefSeq and is a predicted model, not a curated record.
CAGAGGAAGGCUGGUGUCUACGCAGUACAGCUCUGAUAGAGAGAGAGAGAACGAGAGAGCGAACAGCCGAGCGAGAGAAGGAGAAAGCCAGGCAGAGUGAGAGUGAGACGGAGACUGAGCGAGAGGGCAGUAGCUUCAGUGGACACCCUGCCAGCCUCAUCUCCAGCCCCUGAAAUGUUCAUCAUCUGCUCCAUUAUUUAAUCAGCACACGUGCUUCUCUUGCACUCCUCCUUUUUCCCAACACUCUGCUUGUUUUUUUCUGCCUAUCGUUGGAUCUACACCAGUAUGUGUGAGUGUGUUUGAGAGUGUGUGUGAGAGAGUGUGUGUGUACCGUCACUUCUCACUGGACUGCUGGACCAACAUGGAUAUCUAUUCUAGGAUUCCACUAGAGUGGGACGGGGGUCUGUUGUUCCAGGGAGGUUCUAUGGUAGUGCUCACUGAGCCAGCUACAGCCACAGCUACAACUAGAGGAGAGGACCGACUGUCACAACAGAACUGACUGUAUUUACAAUUCAGUCCUCUUUACUUACUACGAGAAGGAGGAAGGAGUGUUGGGAAGUCUUCCUCUGCUCAGCUUUGGGAUUGGAGGAGUGCAGACGUCGGAUAACAUCAGCCGAAAGCACGCCUUUAAGGUUUGGUACGAGGAAGAGGAGGAAGGUGAGAUUAAGGGCCACAUGUUUCUGUAUGCAGGCUGAACACGCAGGAACACGCACGUCUACUUCAGCGCUGAGACUGCUGAGGAAACAGGAGGAGUGGGUCGACGCUAUGAACGAGGCAGUCCACAUACUCCCUUCAUGGAGGACCACCAACUCCGAGCCACCACGCCCACAGCGGAACUCCAUGGUACACCUUGGUAACCAAAGGACCUGAACCACACACCCAGACACACACACACAUCGAGGACAACAGCCAGACGACGGACUUCCAAGACGCAGAGCGCGGACCACGAAAACCGCCCAUCACAAGGUCAACGGGGUUGGCGCCAUGGAGAACGCCCCUUCCCCUCCACCAGCAACUCAGAGCAGGAGGGGAGGAUGGAGGGAGAGAGGACAGGAGGGCCUGGACUGGGGUGCACACCAUCCUCAUCACAACCCAAUGGGUGGACCCUACGGUCCCCCAAACGGACCCCCCAGGGUAACGGGCGGCCGCUCCAGGGACCUCCAGAGGGAGGGAUGAGAGAGGGGAGGGAGGUGAGGGGAGCAGC